GGAAGGAUCAUUAACAAAUCAUAUGUGUGCGUGCAUUUUUAUGUGCGCAUACAAUAUAUGUGCGCCAGUAUACGUGCUGGAAUGCAAUAUUCAUGUAGUGUAUAUGUGUGUGUAGUGUAACUUAAUAUCGAAACAUACUUUUAACAAUGGAUCUCUUGGCUCUUGCAUCGAUGAAGAACGCAGUAAUGUGCGAAAAGUAAUGCGAAUUGCAUACCUCUGCGAGUCAUCUAGUCUUUGAACGCAAAUGGCACUAUCAUGUCGAAUGAUAGUAUGUCUGUUUGAGAACCACAAAACCCAUCACCAUUAGAUAAUGGUGGACCUGUCCGCAUAUAUUAUGUAUGCGGAUGAAAUGGAUAGUGCAGCGGGAUGAUCCCGAAUAUGUGACAAGUUAUCAUCAUAUUUGAAGGUUAUUCACAACGCGCACAGUAUGCUGUCAUGGCACACAAAUAAUAUUACUCUAAUGGUCUCAAAUUGGACAAGGCUACCCGCUGAACUUAAGCAUAUCAGUAAGCGGAGGAAAAGAAACUAACAAGGAUUCCCGUAGUAACGGCGAGUGAAGUGGGAAUAGCUCAAAUUUAAAAUCUGGCCUUUGGCCCGAAUUGUAGUCUAAAGAGGUGCUAUCUUGUUUGUGGCGUGCGCUCAAGUGUCCUGGGAUGGGCCCAUCACAGAGGGUGAGAAUCCCGUUUAGGUGCACGCUGCAUUCAUAUACGAGGCACUCUCAAAGAGUCGAGUUGUUUGGGAAUGCAGCUCAAAUUGGGUGGUAAACUUCAUCCAAGGCUAAAUAUUGGCAAGAGACCGAUAGCGAACAAGUACCGUGAGGGAAAGAUGAAAAGCACCUUGAAAAGGGAGUUAAACAGCGCGUGAAAUUGUUAAAAGGGAAACGAUUGAAGCCAGCAUUGCGCGUUUGGUGUGGGGUCGCAUGGUGUGUGGGUUUCAAGAGCGCAAGCCUUGGCCCGUUCAUGGUGCGAUCAGACCUGCGCGCGAGUCAGGGCCGCUUGGGUGCGCCUUAGAAGACACUGGGAAGGUAGCCACACUUCUUGUGUGGCCUUAUAGCCCAGUGGGAUGGGGUGUGCUGGAGCUGGUAGUGCAGAUAGUCUUGUUAUGUGCCCUUGGCUGUGCAGACUGCAUGCAGACUGUGCGGCACGGGGGUGCAGACCGCAGACUAACAUGCAUGUUCCUGACGAAAUGGCUUUAAACGACCCGUCUUGAAACACGGACCAAGGAGUCUAACAUGUAUGCGAGUGUUUGGGUGGCAAACCCGAGCGCGCAAUGAAAGUGUUUUGCGUGGGACCUCAUUAUAAGAGGGCACCAUGGGCCGAUCUUGAUAUCUCUUGAUAGAUUCGAGUCAGAGCAUAAAUGUUGGGACCCGAAAGAUGGUGAACUAUGCCUGGAUAGGAUGAAGCCAGAGGAAACUCUGGUGGAGGUCCGCCGCCGUUCUGACGUGCAAAUCGAUGGUCAAAUUUGGGCAUAGGGGCGAAAGACUAAUCGAACCAUCUAGUAGCUGGUUCCCUC
This 1512-nucleotide unclassified non-coding RNA is filed under the name uncultured fungus. Its description in RNAcentral is "sequence contains 18S rRNA gene, ITS1, 5.8S rRNA gene, ITS2, 28S rRNA gene". The stretch from base 462 to 1512 matches the Rfam family "Eukaryotic large subunit ribosomal RNA", at positions 1 to 961 of the family's 3401-position model. The record is from RNAcentral. Lineage: Eukaryota; Fungi.